UGGGGAAUAUUGGACAAUGGGGGCAACCCUGAUCCAGCCAUGCCGCGUGUGUGAAGAAGGCCUUUUGGUUGUAAAGCACUUUAAGCAGUGAAGAAGACCUAACGGUUAAUACCCGUUAGCGAUGACAUUAGCUGCAGAAUAAGCACCGGCUAACUCUGUGCCAGCAGCCGCGGUAAUACAGAGGGUGCAAGCGUUAAUCGGAAUUACUGGGCGUAAAGCGAGCGUAGGUGGCUUGAUAAGUCAGAUGUGAAAUCCCCGGGCUUAACCUGGGAACUGCAUCUGAUACUGUUAGGCUAGAGUAGGUGAGAGGGAGGUAGAAUUUCAGGUGUAGCGGUGAAAUGCGUAGAGAUCUGAAGGAAUACCGAUGGCGAAGGCAGCCUCCUGGCAUCAUACUGACACUGAGGUUCGAAAGCGUGGGUAGCAAACAGG
This 429-nucleotide ribosomal RNA is filed under the name uncultured Psychrobacter sp. Its description in RNAcentral is "bacterial SSU rRNA". It matches the Rfam family "Bacterial small subunit ribosomal RNA", at positions 355 to 776 of the family's 1533-position model. The record is from RNAcentral. Lineage: Bacteria; Pseudomonadati; Pseudomonadota; Gammaproteobacteria; Moraxellales; Moraxellaceae.